UUACUAACUAAUUAAAAAUAACUCAUGAAAAGUAUUAAGUAAUUUUAAAAUAAAGUAAAGGGAUUUUAGUUACCUUGUUGUCGAAAGCUGUUAAGGCAUAGUUUGUCACCUUGCCUUUGUUGGGUUGUUCAUCAUCUUUGGAUGAACUUAAUCCGUCCCAAGCUACCUUGAGGGUUUUCUUCUUUUUUUGUAGCUUCUUUUUUUUAG
Molecule: long non-coding RNA, 207 nt
Filed under: Musa acuminata (dwarf banana)
Lineage: Eukaryota; Viridiplantae; Streptophyta; Magnoliopsida; Zingiberales; Musaceae
Description: long non-coding RNA (MACU_LNC005733)
Source: RNAcentral